Molecule: ribosomal RNA, 253 nt
Filed under: uncultured bacterium
Lineage: Bacteria
Description: partial 16S ribosomal RNA
Rfam family: Bacterial small subunit ribosomal RNA
Source: RNAcentral
UACGUAGGGUGCUAGCGUUGUUCGGAAUCAUUGGGCGUAAAGCGCGUGUAGGUUGUUGGGUAAGUCGAUUGUGAAAUCCCUGGGCUUAACCGAGGAAGUGCAGUCGAAACUACUUGGCUAGAAGGUGGUAGAGGGAGGUGGAAUUCCAAGUGUAGAGGUGAAAUUCGUAGAUAUUUGGAGGAAUACCGGCGGCGAAGGCGGCCUCCUGGACCAUUCUUGACACUGAGACGCGAAAGCGUGGGUAGCAAACAGG